AUGGCUGAUUUCUGGGGAAUGGGCUUCUUCCCCAGCCUGGAGGAUUACAGUAUCUUCUACCGUAUCCUCUGGAAUGUGCUGAUCAUAUCAUUAUUCGACUUCGUUAUGGAUUUGUGGAAUCGCAGGGUAGGAGUCAGGGCUGGUGCUGAGCCAGGCGCUGUAACACAGGGAGGGGUGUCAGUAGGGGCCAGGGUCAUCCCAGGCCUGGGCUGGGGGCCCUGCCAGGGAGGAGAGGCCGUGUCCCAGUGGGGCCUGGCCAGGCUCGGCUGGGAGUUCCGGGGCAGGCACGGGCCUGGGCCUGGCUGUGCCCUGGGUUUGUGGGUGCAGCUGAGGCUGCUGGGGAUGCUCCCCUCUCACUUGCUGCUUUCUGUGCCCAUACAGAGAGAGAGACAGAGGAUGUGCCAACACAGAGGCAACCGGGAAAAUUCUAGAGUUUGGGACUUCCGCACGUCUUCACAGCACUCGAGGAUGCACUCCUCAGUGCCCAGGCUACAAGACGAUACCGAUGAAAUAAUCUGUCAGUUCAACAGGAGCCUUGAGACCUUGAUCAGCCGCUUGGAGAUGUAAGACCACUGACAGGGGAUGAGGAUGGGGGCAGGGGCAGGGGCAGGGCUUGGGGACAUGGAAAACUGCAGUGACUCAGGGAAGACACAGGGAAAUCCACAGACUUGCAAUCUGAGAGGCAGUGCCCUGGUAGAAGGGAUUAUCACCGAGGCACAGAGAUGACAGUGUCAUCCUCGCUCUGUGCCCUGCAAGCAGGGACAGAACCUUGAGCACUCACUUGUUGGGACCCCGUGGAAAUGACACAGCCUGACAAUGCUUUUGAGGCGACAGAAGAGCCCUGGGGCCCUCAGGAGUGUUUGGCUCAGAACUGCCCUCCUCUUCCUUCUCUUUCUCCAUUGGAACAGGGUGGUGCUCCUGGGCACUUACAGUACAUUGACGACAUUAUUGUGUGGGGUAAUACAGCAAGCAAUGACCUAAUUUGUUUCCACAAGAGUGGCCUGGAGGAAUGGGCAAGACCUUCAGCACAGUGUCAUAAUCCAGAAGCUAUGAAUCAGCUCAUUGUAAGGGCAUCCAAACCUAAAUAUUCUGCUUCCCAGAAGUACGCUCCUGAGGAACAGAGUUAGUUCAAGGAAAGAGAGAAUGAAGUUUCCAUGUGGACAGUCUUGAAUGUGUGAACACAGAUGCUGGUGUUAGAAAAAUAACUCUAUGUCCAAAUCAGGAAGGAACUGUUUGUCUUGGAUUGCAAGAAGGAGCCCUCAAGAUGAACUCAUCAGACUGUGAACUCUAUUUGAAUGAACUCUGGAAAAAAUGUAAUGCAUAGACUCGAUUCUGAAGAUUUAUUAACUUCCACGAACCAUGAACUGAAAUCUUUGUUUCAUUUUAUAUUCCUUUUUUUCCCCCCUCAGGAUCCACUGUGAUCCUUCUGCAGUGAAAAACUGUAUUUCAGUAAACAAUAUUGGGUUUAUGGUUGUUAACAUUUCACAGAAGACCCCUCUUGCAGAAAGAGCUUUGGAGAACAUUGGGCUAUUUUUUAUGCCCCUUUGACAGUAUACUGUGUGCUGAG
Long non-coding RNA from Numida meleagris (helmeted guineafowl), 1567 nucleotides. The record is from Ensembl. NCBI's taxonomy places the organism in Eukaryota, Metazoa, Chordata, Aves, Galliformes, Numididae.